GGGCCUGUAGCUCAAUUGGUUAGAGCCGGCGGCUCAUAACCGCUUGGUUGGGGGUUCGAGUCCCUCCAGGCCCACCA
Molecule: transfer RNA, 77 nt
Filed under: Brucella suis bv. 4 str. 40
Lineage: Bacteria; Pseudomonadati; Pseudomonadota; Alphaproteobacteria; Hyphomicrobiales; Brucellaceae
Also listed under: 7 other names
Description: tRNA-Met
Rfam family: tRNA
About the family: Transfer RNA (tRNA) molecules are approximately 80 nucleotides in length.
Source: RNAcentral